Molecule: ribosomal RNA, 521 nt
Filed under: Colletotrichum gloeosporioides
Lineage: Eukaryota; Fungi; Ascomycota; Sordariomycetes; Glomerellales; Glomerellaceae
Description: eukaryotic LSU rRNA
Rfam family: 5.8S ribosomal RNA (bases 178-331)
Source: RNAcentral
CAUUACUGAGUUUACGCUCUAUAACCCUUUGUGAACAUACCUAUAACUGUUGCUUCGGCGGGUAGGGUCUCCGCGACCCUCCCGGCCUCCCGCCUCCGGGCGGGUCGGCGCCCGCCGGAGGAUAACCAAACUCUGAUUUAACGACGUUUCUUCUGAGUGGUACAAGCAAAUAAUCAAAACUUUUAACAACGGAUCUCUUGGUUCUGGCAUCGAUGAAGAACGCAGCGAAAUGCGAUAAGUAAUGUGAAUUGCAGAAUUCAGUGAAUCAUCGAAUCUUUGAACGCACAUUGCGCCCGCCAGCAUUCUGGCGGGCAUGCCUGUUCGAGCGUCAUUUCAACCCUCAAGCUCUGCUUGGUGUUGGGGCCCUACAGCUGAUGUAGGCCCUCAAAGGUAGUGGCGGACCCUCCCGGAGCCUCCUUUGCGUAGUAACUUUACGUCUCGCACUGGGAUCCGGAGGGACUCUUGCCGUAAAACCCCCCAAUUUUCCAAAGGUUGACCUCGGAUCAGGUAGGAAUACCCGC